GGAUGGUGUACUUCAAAGGCCUAUGUAUUACAUGAGCCGAGUUCUCCAUAACACAGAAAUCAAGUAGACCACAUUGGAGAAAGCGGUGUACAUGCUUGUAAUUCAAUAAAGAGAUUGCAUUCAUACUUCCAAGUGCCUACUAACCAGCCUAUAGGGUCAGUUCUUUACUGACCUUAGACCUUGGAUCAGCUAGCAAAGUGGGCUGGAAGAGUUUGACAUAAAAUGCUUCUCUCAGCCAUUCAACAAAGUUCAGGUUUUAGUAGAUUUUGUUCUAGAAUAU
RNAcentral lists this long non-coding RNA (280 nucleotides) under Elaeis guineensis (African oil palm). RNAcentral's name for it is "long non-coding RNA (EGUI_LNC024915)". Lineage: Eukaryota; Viridiplantae; Streptophyta; Magnoliopsida; Arecales; Arecaceae. The record is from RNAcentral.